Long non-coding RNA from Cotesia glomerata, 430 nucleotides. RefSeq lists it as uncharacterized. The record is from RefSeq and is a predicted model, not a curated record. The transcript is spliced from 2 exons. Lineage: Eukaryota; Metazoa; Arthropoda; Insecta; Hymenoptera; Braconidae.
AAUAGAAUUAUAAAUUACGCGGUUAUUGGUGCCGUGUGCAAAGCUAAGUGCCGUGUGGAAAUUGUAUAAAGCCACAAUUGACGACUGAGCGGCCAGUGGUUUCUGUUAUUUUAUCAGAGAACAACAUAUUUUAUCGACUACAGAGUGCUGUUGAUAAUAUAGAAAAUUCUAGAACAAGCGGAGAAUUUUAUUUUUUUAAACAGUUAUUAUUUAUUCGAUUUUAAAAACCAAUAAUGGGCUGGGAUAUGUUCAAACGCAACAAGAACGACAAAAAAGAGGUUCAAGACCAACAGAAAAGUAAAACCGAGAGGUCCAGGUGUCAAUGUGAGGAAUUAGGAAAAAAAUGCCAAUGCCAGACCAAUUGCGGUUGCAGAUGUGGAACGAAACGCGUAUACAUUCGUCCGCCAAUGUUCAAUUACUUCACCGACAC